UAGGGAAUCUUCGGCAAUGGACGAAAGUCUGACCGAGCAACGCCGCGUGAGUGAAGAAGGUUUUCGGAUCGUAAAACUCUGUUGUUAGAGAAGAACGUUGCAUAGAGUGGAAAAUUAUGCAAGUGACGGUAUCUAACCAGAAAGGGACGGCUAACUACGUGCCAGCAGCCGCGGUAAUACGUAGGUCCCGAGCGUUGUCCGGAUUUAUUGGGCGUAAAGCGAGCGCAGGUGGUUUAAUAAGUCUGAUGUAAAAGGCAGUGGCUCAACCAUUGUGUGCAUUGGAAACUGUUAGACUUGAGUGCAGUAGAGGAGAGUGGAAUUCCAUGUGUAGCGGUGAAAUGCGUAGAUAUAUGGAGGAACACCGGUGGCGAAAGCGGCUCUCUGGACUGUCACUGACACUGAGGCUCGAAAGCGUGGGUAGCAAACAGGAUUAGAUACCCUGGUAGUCCACGCCGUAAACGAUGAGUGCUAGUUGUU
Molecule: ribosomal RNA, 477 nt
Filed under: uncultured bacterium
Lineage: Bacteria
Description: partial 16S ribosomal RNA
Rfam family: Bacterial small subunit ribosomal RNA
Source: RNAcentral